Molecule: non-coding RNA, 261 nt
Organism: Chrysemys picta bellii (western painted turtle)
Lineage: Eukaryota; Metazoa; Chordata; Testudines; Emydidae
Source: RefSeq, a predicted model, not a curated record
CCCACUGGCGACGCGUCCCAGCUCCAGAGAUCCGUGGGGAUCCCGCAGCAGGGCGGGGACGGGCACAGCUACUCCUGCCGCGUGCAGGAGGCGCUGGCGACCCCGGCACCCGGGGAGAUGGGGGGCCUGGCCCCCGGGAUCCUGGCCGCCCUCGGCCUCGCUGCGCUGACUGGGGCCGGCGCCGCACUGGCUGGCGUCGUGGUGUGGAGGAGAAAGCGCCCGGACUCCGGCAGAAGCAGCUUCGCCCUGACUGCCAGUGAG